GCAGACAUUUGUCCUUGCAGGGAUAGAAGAGAAAGCAGGAUUGUCCCUCAGGCUCACCGGGGUCAGGAUCAGCUUUCGGCCUGCACCCAGGAAUCCCCUCAGGCCCGAGCAGGGCCUGCCUGAGCCCCCGCACAUCCAGUUCCAGUUUAGGCUGCUCGGGCCCCGAUUUCUGAGGGAGCUCUCCCCGCUGUUCCUGCAGCUUCAGCUGUGGGAAAAGGACCGGGGUGGCUUUUCCCGACGUGGGAACCCUGAGGUCCCGCGGGGCUCCGCAGCCCGGGCAGCUGCCGCUGUCACUCGCGUCUCAGCGGGGGCCGCGGCACCUCCGUGACACUUCACUCCUGAAACAACAGCAGCCAUCCCUCCCGCUAAACCCCGUUUGUUGGCUGAGGCAGCCACCUUUAACCUUCGUAAAGUCAACAUCUCUGCGGUCAAGCACUGAAAAACGCAUGGGAAAAAUGGCACGGAUGGAGGAAUUUCACUGGUUUUGGAACACUGUAAGAUAUGCAGCCCAUGAGAAGUGAAUUUACUGUCAGCUUCUGUCCUGGAAAUAGAGGUCCUGAGGGAUGGAGGUUUUGAGAGCAGAGGUUAUGUGCUGGCCUCCCUCGAGGUGCUUCUCUGUAGCCUAAGCCUUGAACCAAAUUUUCAUUGCUGCAUUACCUGAUGAUCUGUCCUCCACGAGGUUCCAAGGCUACAGAAAACUGUUCCUGAUGUGCAGCAUAUGGAUCUUUGCAUACAGAAAGGGACAUAAAUAGCUGCCCAGUCCUGGGAGCAAGAUAAGAUGCAAUUCUUUGAACUGCAGGAAGGACAACACGAGUGAGUGACAGCAGCAAACCCGUGAGACUGGGGGAGACAACUUUAAUUUAUUUGUACAGCAUGCACAUGGAAGGGUCCUUCCCUCCUGUUUGGGUAAUGAUAAAUGACAAGAUGUCGACAGUUAUUAAUUAAACUGCCUGGCAUAGCAAUGUACAUGAUGAUAAGACCUAAGAAAUGUGUAGCAUUCCUCCUACCCCAUCAUGAGAAUGAGGCCCCUCCACUGUUCUCUGGCACAGCAGAGAUUAGACUAAAGCAUCAAUAUUCCACUACAAGCUGGCUACCUAGUAACUGCCUGAACACAGGGCCCUAAAAAUUGAAAUUCUCCCUCAUGUGAUGUGUAGUAAUUAAACUUCAGCAUUCUUUCUGCAGGAAAUGUUUCUCCUGUGUUGUUCCCACAGAUUGUGCUACAACAACAAUUUUAGCCCCAUGAACUAUUAACCAAUUAUGAAGGGAUUUUCUCAGUCUGCUUUAACUGAGGAUCAAAGACAAAACCCAAUUUCUUUUCUUGCCAGUUAUUGUAAUUUAAGAUGCAAAACCAAGCAUGCACAGGACUCAAGGCUUUAGUCAGUCAAACAAAAUGGACUUUGUAACUCAGAUCCAUUUAAACUUUUCUGAUUUGCCUUGCUAAUAUUCCACCUGCUUUUCUUCCUUAACAAAUACAUUGCCACACAAUUGCAAUACAUUUAUUCUAUUCUACUUCCAUUUAUUUCUUUCACAUCCAUAUCUUUUAUGUAUGUGCUACUUGGAGCUAAGUGUGUCUGUAUACUGCCCAGUAACUCAGAGUGAAAUUUUUAAAAAUUAACUAAUUUUAAAUUGCCAUGGGCUGCAGAUAUGAAGAAUCCUUCUGUUAUUACUGCUAAAUGUUUUUAUUCUGGCUGAUUUGUAUGGCUUUUUUGGCCUUUCUUACAUAGAAGAUCUUUUUUUAAACUACAGAAAUGCAAUCUGGGUGAUUGUCCUUUAAAUACUGUCUUAGG
Molecule: non-coding RNA, 1787 nt
Organism: Cyanistes caeruleus (blue tit)
Lineage: Eukaryota; Metazoa; Chordata; Aves; Passeriformes; Paridae
Source: RefSeq, a predicted model, not a curated record